CCCCUACGGGAGGCAGCAGUGGGGGAUAUUGCACAAUGGGGGGAACCCUGAUGCAGCGACGCCGCGUGGGUGAAGAAGCGCCUCGGCGCGUAAAGCCCUGUCAGCAGGGAAGAAAAUGACGGUACCUGAAGAAGAAGCCCCGGCUAACUACGUGCCAGCAGCCGCGGUAAUACGUAGGUGGCAAGCGUUGUCCGGAUUUACUGGGUGUAAAGGGCGUGCAGCCGGGAAGACAAGUCAGAUGUGAAAUCCCGCGGCUCAACCGCGGAACUGCAUUUGAAACUGUUUUUCUUGAGUAUCGGAGAGGU
This 305-nucleotide ribosomal RNA is filed under the name uncultured bacterium. RNAcentral's name for it is "bacterial SSU rRNA". It matches the Rfam family "Bacterial small subunit ribosomal RNA", at positions 336 to 658 of the family's 1533-position model. The record is from RNAcentral.